Molecule: small nucleolar RNA, 227 nt
Organism: Callithrix jacchus (white-tufted-ear marmoset)
Lineage: Eukaryota; Metazoa; Chordata; Mammalia; Primates; Cebidae
Gene: U3
Rfam family: Small nucleolar RNA U3
About the family: Small nucleolar RNAs (snoRNAs) are involved in the processing and modification of rRNA in the nucleolus.
Source: Ensembl
AAUAUUGUACCUUCAGGGAUCAAGUCUACAGUUUGUUACUAAGGAAGUUUCUCUGAACAUGUACAGAGCUGCAGAAGAGCACCAGAACCCACGAGGAGAAGGUGCAGCAUGAUGCUGAGCGUGAAGCUGGCUCAUGGAGUUGCUCUGCUGCUACUGCUACUUGCUGCUGCUGAUCGUUCUCCUCUUCCUUGGGGAGUGGAAGAUGGGGAGAAUGCAGUUGGAGUGGU